CACAGAAUUUCCUUUUCCAUCCUCUCAGAUCCUCUAUCUUGGGCCUGGCCUGUGCCCAGGAGCGCAGCGGAUACAGCUGGAGAAGGGCAGGUCCAGUCUUGCUGCUGGGAGACUCCAGUGACAUUUAACCUUCUCUGCAGCCUGAUCAGCAGGCAGCUGGAGGCAGAUGCUUAAUGAAUAGUCCAGGAUCAACUGCUGCCUGCUGAAGUGGUAGUUUAUGAAGCAAGGGAGCAUCCUGGGGAAGAAGCCCUGAGCUGGGAGAAGAAUUCCCCAGACCAGGAUGAAGUUGGCCUUCGCUGCUCAGAGCGGUCGGCGGCGAUAGAAGGAACAAGCUCUGUGCUAAUGAAACCCUAUCUUGGUUUAAUCUAAAGAGGGAUUUCAAUGAUGAAAUAAUGCAUUUGUUCAGUGACCCGACAACAUGGAGCACAGUUGGACGGCUCACCCCAAGGGCCAUCCCUGGAGAGAUCAAAUCUGGUGACUUCACCACAAGCAACUACCAGAAGACCAGUACGGCUGCAACCUGGAUAUUGAAUUUCAUAACUGAAAUCCCCCAGGAGGCCAGGGAGAAAACAAGCAAGGAGGAGCAUGAAUCCAUAGCCCAAUGAUGAGAGCAGUUGCCUGGAAAGAGGAAGUCCCAGGUUCUGGUCUGCUUUGAGGAUUGCUUAUGUGUUCAUCCAUUGAGUCUAUAAUGCAAAGAGCACAUCGAACCAACAUCUUCGACCACUCUGGGUUGCGGGCGUCAGUAUUUAUGAGAUCAGUAUUCGAUGAAACGAAAUGACUGUGUUCAUCUAAUGCUGGAGAAGAUCCUGAUGGAUUCAGGAGCCUACUCCAAGUCUCCUUGAAAUGUCUCUGUUGAUCUCCAUCUGAGAAGGAUCAGACAUAGGCCUUGCAGUAAUUGCAUAACACCUAUUAUCUUUUUCAUGAUGAGGGACUGAGCCCCAAACUUUUACAAUUAAGAACAUAAGGCUCUACCUCUUGAGCUAAAGAACGGUUACCCCCUGUCUGCAAGCAAUAGUGUAACCGUAUCCUCUGUGGAUGAAGCACAGAGGUUGAUGUGAAGCACACAUUGGGGAGUGGAUUACAGCUAUGUAUGCACGAGGUGCACGUGAUACACGGAAAACUUUUCUCUAGGAUAGUGGUCUCCAACCUUUUUAAGCACAAGAUCACUUUUCGAAUUAACGUGCAACCCAGGAUCUACCUCAAAGAAAACGUAGAAAUAACAGUUUAUAUUUAUAUUUAUGCUAUAUAAGGCUGAGAUCAAGUGCUUAAUAUACAUAAUUAUACAUUUUCCUUACUUACCAAGUCUUAGUGUGACACUGUGACAACUAGAGCCUAGGCGGCUCGUUCAGGGAUGUGGGGGGCUCCCACCACUGUGCUCAUGCCAGAGGAGGCCCCAGGGGCAUGUUCCCCCUGAUCUGUGCAUGGGGUGGAGGUGGUUGCUGCUGCGUGCUGGGCUUUGCACCCUGCUGCAGCUGCCCCAGUGCCUGCCAUCACUGGGCUGCACCGUGACCCCUGCCCGCCUGGCAGCUUGACCACGUGGAGUCGCGCAGGUCUGGAGGCAGUGGCAGCUGCACCUGGGUGCAAAGUGCAGCGCACAGUGGCAGCUGCCUCCACCCUGUGCACAGAUUGGGGGGCAUAUGCGCACCCCCUGGGACCUCUGCUGGGGUGUGCACCGUGGUGGGAGUCACCCUGCACCCCUGGAUGAGCCACCCGGGCUCCAAUUGUCCCACCACCUGGCCUGGCUCCAAUCACCCCAGCCCCUGCUCCUGCCCUGCUCCCUCCCUCACCAUAUGGCCUCAA
Long non-coding RNA from Alligator sinensis (Chinese alligator), 1800 nucleotides. RefSeq lists it as uncharacterized. The record is from RefSeq and is a predicted model, not a curated record. The transcript is spliced from 3 exons. NCBI's taxonomy places the organism in Eukaryota, Metazoa, Chordata, Crocodylia, Alligatoridae.